AACGGAGGAGUAAGCAAGCUCUCAGUCCAAUUUCCCAAGUAUCUUUUCCUCCCCUUUUCAAACAGGGAUCCAGGCGACACUCGUGGCAGACGAUCUCAACACCAAAAGAACAGCAGCUGCCAGCUGCAUAAAACAGAUUGAGGCCUGCAAAUUGACUGAAAUGAUGACUACUCUUAACCAGACAUCUCAUUUUUCCACUUCUGACAGGCUGAGAUCUGCAAACCUCUGGGUCUCAAGAGAUGAAGGCUACAUUAGCCAACUAAGACGACAAACUCAACUCUUCCUUGUCAUUAAAUAAUUUGCCAGUUAUAAAUGGUUUGGUAACUUUACAGAAUUUAAGUACAUGUAAUGUUUAAAUUUCCCCAUUAAAUGUAAGAGGCAAAGAAAAUCCUUUUAAAUAACUAAGCAGAGGAUAUGAAAGGGGAGCCAAGAAUAGACAGAACUGUUACUUUUCAAAGAACCUUCGCUCUUUAUUCAAACAAAUAUUUACACAAUUGAAGGCAACGGCAAGAGAGAUAUAGCCAUUCUGUUAAAAUAGUGGGCAACUCUAACGGUUUAUUUAUCCCAAAUCCGACAGUUCUGUUGCUAACCUACCAGGAACCAAGAAUUCAAGUGUUCACAGGGCAAAAGUUUAACCUUCUGAAACUGUGGACCUCAUUUAGAUCUCUCCCAGCCGAAUUCAAACGUUAGAAUCCCAGAGACAUAUCUCGAACGCCCAAAUUAAACCAAACUAGGAAGCUUAAAAUUACACGUCCAAUACUUGAAAACCUACAUCUGUAACUUACACGUUCAUAUUACGAAGGGAAAUGUGGCUGACAAAUAUUUACACUAAAAAGACUCCACAUUUUUAUGCCUCGUCUAGUUACACUCCCAGCUGUGCCUGGCUAUGACUAGUUGUGCAUUCUAGAGCUCUUUAGAGCUACUUCAGAGUUGCAGGAUAAAGAUUUCUAGGGAAGAGGGCAGGGCCAGGCGCCCGGAGGAUUUCCAGCCACGGGUAGUUUACCGAGAGAAAAAGCUGCGGGCGUCGCUCCCUCUUUUACAUAAGAAAGGCUAAGCUCUAAAAGGCAGACAACUUCUUCCUGGCCCUUCGGAGAAGCUAGCCCUUGGAACCUAGGCCCUGAGUCGUGAGGAAGAGGAAAGACUACAUGGGGUCACUAUGUAAGGUGUUCCUGGUGACAGCUCCUGCUGAGGACCCAGCUGACAGCAAGCACCAACCUCCAGACAACAAGAGCUUUCUUCUGGCACAUCUGGUUUAUGUGAAUACAUUAGUGAGUUUCCCAGGAAGCCGCAGCAUCACACAAAGGCCCAUGAUCAUUUCACCAGGUAAUGAUUAAUGUCAUGUUACAGUUUCACAAUAUCAUAAUUGAAUAAUCAAUUAACUAAGGUUUUGUGAGUACUAUGUGUGAAGAACAAUAAUUUAUUUAUGUGACUAUUCCUCCUCGAUGACAGCAGUCAGUUCCUUCUGGAAAGUAUAGAUUAAGCCAUUGCAUUUCUUGGUAAAUAAAUAUACUAGUCAAAGACCAAGAUAUUAUUUAUGUGUAUGUACUAAUGACUUUAACAGAGAUAUAAACCCUUAUUUUAGGAAUUGUUUAGUACUAGUAGUAGAGUUCUAAAUGGAUGCUAUAUAAAGAAUUUGCUCUUUAUUAUAUUAGUUAUGAGAAUUACAACCAGUGAAUCAUAGUAACUGGAAAAUACCUUAGGGUUAUAAAAGGAAAUCCAUUAAUUGUACAAAUUAAAUAUUUGAAGACCAAAGAGGGCAGGAGACUUAUCCAGGCCUCCUGAGUCUUUAGAGUUUUUAAUUAGAGCACCAGUCCAUGCAGAUUGUAUUUGUCUUCUUGAAGCUGUGACUCAUGAGAUAUACAUGUAUUGCUUAAGAAUACAUGUUUACUCUUUCUGCACUACCUGAGUGACAGGAUCAUCCAUGUCCCAGACCCCAG
Molecule: long non-coding RNA, 1937 nt
Filed under: Homo sapiens (human)
Lineage: Eukaryota; Metazoa; Chordata; Mammalia; Primates; Hominidae
Description: HSALNT0313795
Source: RNAcentral